ACAAGCAGCGGAGCAUGUGGUUUAAUUCGAAGCAACGCGAAGAACCUUACCAAGACUUGACAUCCCCUGACAGCUGUUGAAAGGCAGUGUCUCUUCGGAGCAGGGAGACAGGUGGUGCAUGGUUGUCGUCAGCUCGUGUCGUGAGAUGUUGGGUUAAGUCCCGCAACGAGCGCAACCCUUAUCCUUAGUUACCAGCACGUAAAGGUGGGGACUCUAGGGAGACCGCCGGGGACGACUCGGAGGAAGGUGGGGACGACGUCAAAUCAUCAUGCCCCUUAUGUCUUGGGCUACACACGUGCUACAAUGGCCGCAACAGAGGGAAGCGAGAGCGCAAGCUGGAGCAAAACCCCAAAAAGCGGUCCCAGUUCGGAUUGUGGGCUGCAACCCGCCCACAUGAAGUCGGAGUUGCUAGUAAUCGCGAAUCAGCAUGUCGCGGUGAAUGCGUUCCCGGGCCUU
Molecule: ribosomal RNA, 456 nt
Filed under: uncultured Lachnospiraceae bacterium
Lineage: Bacteria; Bacillati; Bacillota; Clostridia; Lachnospirales; Lachnospiraceae
Description: bacterial SSU rRNA
Rfam family: Bacterial small subunit ribosomal RNA
Source: RNAcentral